UAAGGAAUAUUGGUCAAUGGACGCAAGUCUGAACCAGCCAUGCCGCGUGAAGGAUGAAGGUCCUCUGGAUUGUAAACUUCUUUUAUCUGGGACGAAAACGGGAUUUUUAUCUCAAUUGACGGUACCAGAGGAAUAAGCACCGGCUAACUCCGUGCCAGCAGCCGCGGUAAUACGGAGGGUGCGCGCGUUAUCCGGAUUUACUGGGUUUAAAGGGUGCGUAGGUGGGCUUAUAAGUCAGUGGUGAAAUCUCCGAGCUUAACUUGGAAACUGCCGUUGAUACUAUAGGUCUUGAAUUAUCUGGAGGUAAGCGGAAUAUGUCAUGUAGCGGUGAAAUGCUUAGAUAUGACAUAGAACACCAAUUGCGAAGGCAGCUUACUACAUAUAAAUUGACGCUGAGGCACGAAAGCGUGGGGAUCAAACA
This 421-nucleotide ribosomal RNA is filed under the name uncultured bacterium. RNAcentral describes it as "bacterial SSU rRNA". It matches the Rfam family "Bacterial small subunit ribosomal RNA", at positions 355 to 774 of the family's 1533-position model. The record is from RNAcentral.